GUAAGGCCUCCGGGGCUCUGGCUGCUCAGAGCUUCGGAACCCCUCCCGGGAAGCGGCUGCAAAAAGCAGGCCUCGACGCUUGGCAAGGAAAAAAGCUGCUGGGGAUGCAGAAACUCAAGCAGAGGAGCAGGAUUCUGCAGACCUGGCCUCGAGGAUUCUGGAGACAAAUUCACUGGUAAUCUCAUAAGAGCAUGCUUAUGACAUACUGCUUUUCACUUGCUGCUUUCAAGAUUCUUUUCUCCUCUGUGACUUCUGAAACUGUGCAGCUAUGUUGUCCUAUUUUACCCAAGACCUUUUGCCAGAGCAGAAGAUACAAGAUGCAUUCCCAAAAUCAAUACUGAGAGGAUAUGGAAAUGGUGGCCUUGAUAAUUUCCACUGGAGGAAAGACUGGGGAAAUGUAGACGAAUGUAAGUUGCAGAAAGAAGAUUAUAAUGGACUUAACCAAUGUUCAUCAACUACUCAUAGCAAGAUAUUUCAAUGUAGUAAAUGUGUUAAAAUCUUUAAUAAUUCUUCAGAUGUACAUAGACAUAAGUCAUACUGGAGAGAAACCUUUCAAAUGCAAGGAAUGUGGCAAAUCCUUUCAAAUGUUCUCAUUCCUGACUGAAUAUCAGAAAAUUCACACAGAAAAAAAUUCCAAAGAUGUAAAGAAUAUAGCAAAACCUUUCACCAGUGCUCACACUUUACUGAGCAUGAGAACAUUUGUACUAGAGAGAAACCUUACAAAUGUAAAGAAUGUGACAAGGUUUCUGAAACUUGCUCAGCCCUUACUAAAGAUAGAUUUUACACUGCAGGGGAACAUUAGAAAUGUGAAGAAUUUGGCAUUAGUAUUUAAUUCCAAAUUAUGGCAUUAUUUAAUGCCAUAUAUGAAUGCCGAAUGAUUUCAUGCCAUUAUACAAGUGGCAUUAGUAUUUAAUACAAUUAGUAUUUGUCAAAAGUAUUUGAACAGUGCUCCCACCUUACCGAGGUAAGGACCAUGGCACUGAGAAAAAACUCCGCAAAUGUGAAGAGUGUGGCCGUGUCUUUGUCUCCUGUUCAAGGCUGUCUAAUCAUCAGAUGAUUAUCGCUGGAGAGAAGCUCUCCAAGUGUAAAAACUGGUAGAAGCCCAAGACUUUCCAAACCUCAGGGAAAUGAGAUUGGAAAGAAACGUUUCAAAUGUGGGGAAUGUGGCAGCAUCUUCAGGUGGUUCUCAGACAUUACUAAACAUAAGAGAAUUCACACUGGGGAGAAACCAGACAAAUGUGACAAAUGUGGGAAAGCCAAUACCCAGGCCUCACACCUCAGUGAAUGUUUGAGGAUUCACAUUGGAGGGAAACCCUACCAAUGUGAAGAAUGUGGGAAAGUCUUCAGAACUUGCUCAAGCCUUUCUAAUCAUCAGAGAACUCAUUCUGAAGAAAAACCCUACAUAUGUGAAGAAUAUAGCACCAUCUUUAAGCAGUCAUCAGACUGCACUAAACCUAUGAAAACCCAUACUGGAGAGAAUCCUUACAAAUGUGAUGAAUGUGGAAAAAACUUUACCCAGUCCUCAAAUCUUAUUGUACAUCAGAGAAUUCAUGCUGCAGAGAAAUCCUACAAGUGUGAAAAUUGUGACAAAGCCUUUAUCCAGUUCUCACACCUGACUGUACAUGAAAGCACUCAUAUUUGAGAAAAAAUAAACAAAUGCAAAACUAGGGAAAGCCUGUAGUAACUGCUCCCAUCUUGCUUUACAUCAGAGUUCGUCCUUCAUCAGGUUAUGAUGAGUAUUAUGAGUUGAAAGACCUUUCAUGAAAUAAGUUUCCAGAGCACUAAAGAGUAUUUCUUCUGAAAAAAUAUUAGAAAUAUGUUUUAUAUUAGAUGGAAGCCUUACAUCAGCUGCUUAAACUUUAUUCAAAUUCAGAGAAUUUGUAUCGGAGAGAAAUCCUUCAAAUGUCAUAAGCGUGGAAGAACAUUUGUUCAGAAACUAUAGCUUAGAAAACACCAGGGUUCAUACCAAAAGAUAUUUUCCAAAGGCAGUAAAUUGUAAAAAUAAGCAAAAUCAAGUCUAAAUAAACAUUAGGGAAAGAGAAAGGAACAGGGCACUGACAUGUUCAGACAUGACGCUGAAUAAGUGUUGAGUCUACAGAGUAAUCUGGACUGGAAAUAGAUUAUUCAUUCACAUUUAGGUUUAAAAGAAGGAUGAGAUUAAUUUUUUUGUAGCGUUAUAAGUGCAUUCAAGAUACACUUUUUUGCAUUGAAAAAAUGUUAAAUAGUUUGAAAAGCCAAUAUUGAUGUAAUUCAACUUUCAAAUCAAUUGAUGCUAUAUCUGUAUUUCUAGCGCUGGUGUGAAAACACAUUUUUAAUGGUUGCUGCAUCAGAGAUAUGAGAAGUUAUUUUAUAUUAAGUGUGCAUCGCUGAUACACUUUUCCAUGAAAGGUGAAAGAUGCUGAAAUGUAAGAUGCGUGAGUAAAUCUUGCUAGAAAGGCUCUUUGUCGCUGUCGUAUAUACCUGUAAGUGAUUCAUGAGUUAGUUUAAUAUUCUUCUGCAUUAUAAGAAGAGAGAAUCAUUUUGAAUUUUAUAAAUCAUUGGUUUUAGCAGUAUUUCAUUAUGAUAAUAUAGCGCAAGUUUUGAAAUGCUUUUUAAGAUUCUUUGUGAACUUAAUUUGUUUUUAAUUGAACACAAUUGUGUUAAAUGUGUUAGGUCUGGUGCUCAUGGAAUAAAGUGUUAUCCUACCAAGAAUCAAUCCCAUCUCAAUGGUGUCGAUAACAGACGGCAGCAAUCUACUGUCAGAUGGCAGAGUGGAGUGACAUCUUCAGUGACCUUCAUUCCCAGUGACUUUUUAACUGCAAGUAACUGGAAGAAUAUGGUUCUCAUAGUUUUUUAUAAUUUUCUUUGUAACUACAGAGUCAUUAUGGUUAUAAUAAAGAUUAUACAGAAGUAUAAAUAAAAUACAUAUAUUUCUGAGUAAUUAGAAAUUUUUUCCUGUCAUUUUUCUUGGAUGUACAACCCCUCUGCCCUGCAAAACACAUAGAGAGUUUACGUUGUGAUUUACAUGGAGGUAAAUAUACAAAUAUGUAACUGUAAAAAUAAACUAGCCUGGGCAUGGUGGCGCACAGCUGUAAUCCCAGCACUUGGGAGGGUUGCUUCAGCUGAAAAGUUUCGGACCAGCCUGGGCAACAUAGUGAGUGACACCUGUCUCUACUACAGAUUUUUUUAAUUAGCUGGGAGUGGUGGUGCACACUUUCAGUCCCAGCUACUCGGGAAGCUGAGGUGGAAGGACCGACCACAUGAGCCUGGGAGAUGAAGGCCACAGUGAGCUAUGUUCAUGCCACUGCACUCCAGCCAGGGCAGCAAACCGUGCCCUUGUCUAAGAAAACAAGAACCAAACGCAAUGGAGAUAAACUUCAGGGUUAAGAGAAUGACGGAGCACGUCAUUGUGUUUGUGUGAGUGCGGGUGUCCACCUGUUUUGAAAGUACACAUGACAAAGAAAAUAGCAAGACUGGAUUCAAACAGAUCACUUUAAUAGUCUUGAUAAUUUACUAGAAAACUACACAAACCUCAUAGAUUUUGAAGGAAAUCUCAAUCUCUCCUUUGUGCUGAAUUCAUUUCUGUAUAACAUUCUGGCUCCUGGUUCAGAAUCUCC
Molecule: non-coding RNA, 3596 nt
Organism: Callithrix jacchus (white-tufted-ear marmoset)
Lineage: Eukaryota; Metazoa; Chordata; Mammalia; Primates; Cebidae
Source: RefSeq, a predicted model, not a curated record